AAGUCGUAACAAGGUUUCCGUAGGUGAACCUGCGGAAGGAUCAUUAACACGUUAUCCAUACGUUACCAAAGUGUACUGUUUUCACCCUCCCUUGGCGGAGAAUGAGCGGAAAUUGUAGUGUUAUUGAGGGGGGCUUGAAUUAUCGCCAGCCACUACAAUCUAUUUAUGCAACAAUUUAACUAUUUUGCAUUAACGCUGUAUCUUUUGUCAAGGUUAUUCUGCACAGCUUUCUCCUUUCAGAUAAUGGCUGUGUGGGAAACUUAUUUAACUUAUUUCACCCUUUUUGCUAGUUGACUUUUAUAUGUUGUUCUUUGCGUUUCGGCGUAAGGUUCACACGUUUAAUUAUUUGAACGUUAAAAUUACAACUCUUAGCAAUGGAUAUCUUGGUUCUC
RNAcentral lists this unclassified non-coding RNA (392 nucleotides) under fungal sp. Its description in RNAcentral is "partial internal transcribed spacer region". The stretch from base 1 to 46 matches the Rfam family "Eukaryotic small subunit ribosomal RNA", at positions 1786 to 1831 of the family's 1831-position model. The record is from RNAcentral. Lineage: Eukaryota; Fungi.